AAACUUGGAGUGAUGAUUGUUGCAUAGUUCAGAUGAGAUUCAUCUCUGAUUAAUUUAAACAGAAAUUAGUCUUUCUCUUCUAUCAAAAUUUACAAGACU
This is a small nucleolar RNA of Papaver somniferum (opium poppy), 99 nucleotides long. RefSeq annotates it as small nucleolar RNA snR60/Z15/Z230/Z193/J17. The record is from RefSeq and is a predicted model, not a curated record. The transcript has a single exon. Lineage: Eukaryota; Viridiplantae; Streptophyta; Magnoliopsida; Ranunculales; Papaveraceae.